AUAAGAAGCCAUGUCUCACAUUCUGGAGCUAGCAACAGCUGAAAGAUGGUUAUUUGGGGUGGAGGGAGGACUGAUAUUACACUUUCAUGUAACUAUGAUACAUUUGUUUUAAAAUGUCAUCCUAUAUAAUAAACUUUCUGUUUUUUCUUUUUUAAUUUACCAUUUGACUUUUUUAGAACCAUGCAGGAAAGCCUUAACACCAAAGUUUUCUGAGCAAAAUUGGAACAGUAGGACAUGAGAUGAUGCAAAGCUGACCCUACAGGAGCCUCACACUGAUCCUGUUGUGUAUUUGGCUGUGCUUUACUCUGACGAAGCAGAGCACUGGGGCUGGCUAUUUCUUGUCAGCUGAAGAUCCUCUCUGCAAAUCCCCUGUGUGUCAGUUGUCUUUUGUGCUUUAGUGUCUGCUGUGACCACAUGGACAUUUGUUUGACAGGAGUCUGUGACCCUCAAACAGUUUGGCUCUGCUCAGUUACAUGGUGUCUGACCUGGCAAUUGAAACCGAGUAGCCACCAGCAGAACUGCUUACCAGACUUGUCUCUGUGGAUGGAGGAUGAGCGUUAAUAUUCAUAAGCUGUUACUCAUUAACACC
Molecule: long non-coding RNA, 589 nt
Filed under: Manacus vitellinus (golden-collared manakin)
Lineage: Eukaryota; Metazoa; Chordata; Aves; Passeriformes; Pipridae
Description: lncRNA (ENSMVIG00005005339.1)
Source: RNAcentral